UACGAGGGGGGCGAGCGUUAUUCGGAAUUACUGGGCGUAAAGGGCUCGUAGGCGGCCAACUAAGUCAGACGUGAAAUCCCCAGGCUCAACCUGGGAACUGCGUCUGAUACUGAUUGGCUUGAAUCCGGGAGAGGGAUGCAGAAUUCCAGGUGUAGCGGUGAAAUGCGUAGAUAUCUGGAGGAAUACCGGUGGCGAAGGCGGCAUCCUGGACCGGCAUUGACGCUGAGGUACGAAAGCGUGGGGAGCAAACAGG
RNAcentral lists this ribosomal RNA (253 nucleotides) under uncultured bacterium. Its description in RNAcentral is "partial 16S ribosomal RNA". It matches the Rfam family "Bacterial small subunit ribosomal RNA", at positions 524 to 776 of the family's 1533-position model. The record is from RNAcentral.